RNAcentral lists this ribosomal RNA (254 nucleotides) under uncultured bacterium. Its description in RNAcentral is "partial 16S ribosomal RNA". It matches the Rfam family "Bacterial small subunit ribosomal RNA", at positions 524 to 776 of the family's 1533-position model. The record is from RNAcentral.
UACGAAGGGGGCUAGCGUUGUUCGGAUUUACUGGGCGUAAAGCGCGCGCAGGCGGCUUUGCAAGUCAGGGGUGAAAUCCCAGAGCUCAACUCUGGAAUUGCCUUUGGGACUGCGAGGCUUUGAGGACGAGAGAGGUGAGUGGAAUUCCCAGUGUAGAGGUGAAAUUCGUAGAUAUUGGGAAGAACACCGGUGGCGAAGGCGGCUCACUGGCUCGUUUCUGACGCUGUAGCGCGAAAGCGUGGGGAUCAAACAGG